CUUUCUUAAAAAGAUGUAGUAAAUAUGGCACAGGGAGUUUUAACUAUAACUGCAGGCCUGAAUCUGGAAUCAGGUGGGCUCCUGGACUCAGGAACCAAGGAGUGGAAAGGAGCUGGGUUCCCACCAGCUUCUGACUCAAGCUGCUCCCCUAGAAGGAGGAAAUGCUGCUGCUGCCUCCUGUUCACAUCGUAUUAUUGCUGGAGAUCUGCCAUACUCCACCAUCGCCCCAUCUCCCUGCGCAAUCUCCUUACAAUCCCCUUAAUUCCUUAGAGGAAUGCCCUGGCUUGUCACUUGCCUCUGGCAAUUCUCUGUCUUGGGGCAAAGCCCCGGUCUCUUCUAAGCACAGCUCCUACAGAGCCUAGAACUCUUUAUUUUAUGAAUUUUAAAUCCUAUAAGACUCCAAGCCUAAGGCAAAACACCAAGAGGAGACAGGAUAAAGAUGAAACAGGAUACAUGGUGAUAUCAUCUUACAAGACUCAAGAUAAGCAUAUAAAAGGAAGAAUUUUAAAGUAAUUUCUGC
Phascolarctos cinereus (koala) is the source of this 520-nucleotide non-coding RNA. Lineage: Eukaryota; Metazoa; Chordata; Mammalia; Diprotodontia; Phascolarctidae. The record is from RefSeq and is a predicted model, not a curated record.